Molecule: ribosomal RNA, 479 nt
Filed under: uncultured bacterium
Lineage: Bacteria
Description: partial 16S ribosomal RNA
Rfam family: Bacterial small subunit ribosomal RNA
Source: RNAcentral
GACGAACGCUAGCGGGAGGCCUAACACAUGCAAGUCGAGCGGUAGAGUUCAUUCGGAAACUUGAGAGAGGCGCACGGGUGAGUAACACGUGGGCAACCUACCUGUAUCUGGGGGAUAGCGUUUGGAAAGGAAGAUUAACACCACAUAAUAUAAUGAUUGGCAUCAAUUAUUAUGGAAAACGACGGUGGAUAGAGAUGGGCACGCGCACGAUUAGAUAGUUGGUGAGGGAACGGCUCACCAAGUCAAGGAUCUUUAGGGGUCCUGAGAGGGAGAUCCCCCACACUGGAACUGCCACCCGCACCACACUCCUACGGCACGCAGCCCUCUGGCAUAUUGGACCGUGGGUUAGAGCCUGAUCCAGCCAUCCCGCGUGAAGGAUGCCCGUCCUAUGGAUUGUAAACUUCUUUUGUACAGCGAUAAACCUACCCUCUGGAGGGUAGCUGAAGGUACUGUGCGAAUAAGCACCGGCUAACUCCGUG